UACGUAGGGGGCAAGCGUUGUCCGGAUUUAUUGGGCGUAAAGAGCGUGUAGGCGGCCAAACAGGUCAGCUGUGAAACUCGAGGCUCAACCUCGAGACGUCGGUUGAAACCGUUUGGCUAGAGUCCGGAAGAGGAGAGUGGAAUUCCCGGUGUAGCGGUGAAAUGCGCAGAUAUCGGGAAGAACACCCGUGGCGAAGGCGGCUCUCUGGGACGGUACUGACGCUGAGACGCGAAAGCGUGGGGAGCGAACAGG
This 252-nucleotide ribosomal RNA is filed under the name uncultured bacterium. Its description in RNAcentral is "partial 16S ribosomal RNA". It matches the Rfam family "Bacterial small subunit ribosomal RNA", at positions 524 to 776 of the family's 1533-position model. The record is from RNAcentral.